AAGACUAUACUAUUCAGGUUCGAUUUUCCUAUGACGUGCCAUUAUAAGUAUAGUUUCGACACUUGAGAAAUGUGUGUCUAAAGUGGUAGAUCUCGCUAUCCAUGAUGACGAUUCAAGAUAUUCCCAUUCAGAGCAUGAAUCUGGUGGUUAGAAAUGACUUUGCUCAUUUUUCUUCCACCUUUGAUGACUGUUCCUUGUUCUUCAAUGAACGUGGAUGAAGGGAAUAUGUUCUGAGUGGA
RNAcentral lists this small nucleolar RNA (239 nucleotides) under Oncorhynchus kisutch (coho salmon). RNAcentral's name for it is "Small nucleolar RNA U3 (ENSOKIG00005026659.1)". It matches the Rfam family "Small nucleolar RNA U3". Rfam says of the family: Small nucleolar RNAs (snoRNAs) are involved in the processing and modification of rRNA in the nucleolus. There are two main classes of snoRNAs: the box C/D class, and the box H/ACA class. The record is from Rfam by way of RNAcentral. Lineage: Eukaryota; Metazoa; Chordata; Actinopteri; Salmoniformes; Salmonidae.